Molecule: long non-coding RNA, 1291 nt
Filed under: Volvox carteri
Lineage: Eukaryota; Viridiplantae; Chlorophyta; Chlorophyceae; Chlamydomonadales; Volvocaceae
Description: long non-coding RNA (VCAR_LNC000155)
Source: RNAcentral
CGAUAACUGUAUUCCUGCAUCCGUCGUAGGGUCAUCAAAGCCUGAUGCAUUUCCACAUAUUAGAUCUCAAAAUCUGCACGCGCGUAUUGACAUCUUACAUACAGCUUUUACCUUUCUCCUUUUGCCGUUGCCGCUAGUAGCGGUAGCGACCUGGUACGCAUUUGGGAACGUGCAAGGCUGCUGCCUCGUACGUGCACGAUGCGUGUCGGCGUGCAAGUAGCUUGCAGGCUGGCCAUAACUGCUGAGACCGCAUUAUGCGUAAUAUGGAGCCCUUGGCAUUUAACAAGUAGUGCGUCACGCAGGUGGCAGGCAUAAAAGACAGUUCGUGUUUACAGGCGAAGAUGGAUGAUGGUCCCGAGCCUAAGAAGGUGAAACGCGGUCCUAAACCUGGUGCCUGCGAGGCAACACAGACGGAAGUCGGUCUGCACACGUUUUUGCGUACGUUACACCGCACUGGUAGUUUAACGGUUCCGAGUAUUAGCAAAUCAAUCGAAUUGUCGUUAGCUGAAAGAGUGCAGGGUGGGCGGGUGGGCUUACCAAAAACAAGAAAUCCAAUCGAUUUGCCUGACAUGACUCCAGACAUUCUCUCGGGACCACCCUUGCCCACCCCUACCAUUAAGAGCCCCCCUGCUCACCUGUGAUCGUGUUCAUCACCUAUGUCACAGGUGAUCGUGUUCAUCAAUUCGCUCCUUGUCUCCAAGGGUCAGGCGGCGACCGACAGCUAGACAUGCAGUGUUGGUACCAGGUGCAGAUGAGCUCUAGCUUGAUGCACUACUGAUGCCUGUGGCUGCACUUCGAUUUUGACCCAUUCCUGCCUACCAAGACCAGUCGUGAGCAGAAAUCUUUGUUGUCGAGCCUUGCUGCACACACGUGUUCUUGAGGCUCUCGUGCUGCCUACAGAAGCAAUAUGUCCAGGUGUGCAUGGUCACCCCCUCCAUGCACCCUUUGUGUGUGCAUGGACACCGGUGUAUACCUUUGCUGAGGCGCCAAAGCAAAUCCAUAAAACUCCAGACGGUGCAUUGUGUGUCGCCGCCAUCUAUCCAUCCAUCAUCCCUGUGACUGCCUGCCUGCUGAUGUCAGUAAGCUUUUAUUGCUGCACCCCGUAGCCUGCACUGGGGGUCCGGGCAACAUUCUUCAGCAGCCAUGUCUGCAGAUCCCGCAUCACAACGGCCAAGUGCCCCAGCCAGGGCUCUGCCUGCCGUGCAGGUCCCACCCACCAAUGUGUAUAUGGAGGGCAAUAAAAGGGCAAUGUGUAUAUGGAGGGCAAUAAAUUUUGUGAGCUAUUGUUGGC